UGCUUACACAUGCAGUCGAACGAUGAACCUCACUUGUGGGGGGAUUAGUGGCGAACGGGUGAGUAACACGUGAGUAACCUGCCCUUAACUCUGGGAUAAGCCUGGGAAACUGGGUCUAAUACCGGAUAUGACUCCUCAUCGCAUGGUGGGGGGUGGAAAGCUUUUUGUGGUUUUGGAUGGACUCGCGGCCUAUCAGCUUGUUGGUGAGGUAAUGGCUCACCAAGGCGACGACGGGUAGCCGGCCUGAGAGGGUGACCGGCCACACUGGGACUGAGACACGGCCCAGACUCCUACGGGAGGCAGCAGUGGGGAAUAUUGCACAAUGGGCGAAAGCCUGAUGCAGCGACGCCGCGUGAGGGAUGACGGCCUUCGGGUUGUAAACCUCUUUCAGUAGGGAAGAAGCGAAAGUGACGGUACCUGCAGAAGAAGCGCCGGCUAACUACGUGCCAGCAGCCGCGGUAAUACGUAGGGCGCAAGCGUUAUCCGGAAUUAUUGGGCGUAAAGAGCUCGUAGGCGGUUUGUCGCGUCUGCCGUGAAAGUCCGGGGCUCAACUCCGGAUCUGCGGUGGGUACGGGCAGACUAGAGUGAUGUAGGGGAGACUGGAAUUCCUGGUGUAGCGGUGAAAUGCGCAGAUAUCAGGAGGAACACCGAUGGCGAAGGCAGGUCUCUGGGCAUUAACUGACGCUGAAGAGCGAAAGCAUGGGGAGCGAACAGGAUUAGAUACCCUGGUAGUCCAUGCCGUAAACGUUGGGCACUAGGUGUGGGGGACAUUCCACGUUUUCCGCGCCGUAGCUAACGCAUUAAGUGCCCCGCCUGGGGAGUACGGCCGCAAGGCUAAAACUCAAAGGAA
RNAcentral lists this ribosomal RNA (850 nucleotides) under Pseudarthrobacter siccitolerans. RNAcentral's name for it is "bacterial SSU rRNA". It matches the Rfam family "Bacterial small subunit ribosomal RNA", at positions 45 to 909 of the family's 1533-position model. The record is from RNAcentral. Lineage: Bacteria; Bacillati; Actinomycetota; Actinomycetes; Micrococcales; Micrococcaceae.